GGUCUCCACGUUAAAUUCUUGUGUUGUUUUUAUUUCUCAAUUUUUCUCUUUACCAAAGGGGCGGAGAUCUCGGGGUUUACGGGAAAGGGUCAUUUUUUUUCCCAACAAGUGGUAUCAGAGCGAGGUCGCCUAGCUUGAGGGGGAAAUCUUAGUAUGCUCUAUGGUCGCAGCUUUGGCUGAUCUUCCACAUCAGAAAAGAUUUUCUGGUU
Molecule: long non-coding RNA, 209 nt
Filed under: Nicotiana benthamiana
Lineage: Eukaryota; Viridiplantae; Streptophyta; Magnoliopsida; Solanales; Solanaceae
Description: long non-coding RNA (NBEN_LNC005114)
Source: RNAcentral